Molecule: long non-coding RNA, 3343 nt
Filed under: Sus scrofa (pig)
Lineage: Eukaryota; Metazoa; Chordata; Mammalia; Artiodactyla; Suidae
Description: lncRNA (ENSSSCG00000061209.1)
Source: RNAcentral
GUGUAAAGUUAGGUUGUUUAUUUGCAUUUUUUCUUACUUCCUGAGGUAAAAUUGCAUUGCUAUAAACUUCCCUCUCAGAACUGCUUUCGCUAUGUCCCAUAGGUUUUCGAUUGCUGUGUCUUCAUUGGUAUUUAUCUCUAUGUAUCUUUCAUGUGUAUUUCUGGUGGUCCCUCUCCCUGCCUUGCUGCUGGUAGGAGUGCUCUCUGUAAUCCCACAGAUUAGAAUGUGGGUUAAUGGGCCUCCCCUAGCUCCCUUGGUAUGGAAAGUGUUCCACUGAUGUGAGCCUUCAUAGGGCCCCUGGGAGGGGUUCUGUAUCUUGUGCUUUUCACUGGUUGGGUAGCCCAGAGUUCCAUCAGAGAAUGUGCACCAGCAUCCCUCUUGUGAAAAUGGGUGCUGUUGCCGGCCACUUUUCGUGUGUUGCUUUGCUGGUAAGAGUUUCUGCAGAUUCUCUUGGCAGAGCUAAGGCACCUGUGUUUUCCCUGAUCAACAGGAAUAAGGGCGUCAGCAGCCCUCUCAUGGGAAUGGGUAUUGUUGCACAGGCACAAGCCUCUGCAGAUUCCCCACACGGAGCUGAGCUGUCUGUUUGCCUGUGUUUUCCAUGCUCAAGCAGGUCACUGCUUUUUCAGGAAGUUGGUGCUGCCACCAGAAGUUUUUCUGGCACUGCUUUGCUGAUGUGAGUCUCUGUAGAUUCUCUAGGUAGACCCAAGGCACCUGUGUCUUCCCCAAUUGACAGGGAGUGGGCACUGGUGUCCUUCUCAUGGGAAUGAGCAGAGCCUCUCUGGGCAGAACUGAGACUAUUUUGUUUUCCCUGCUCAACCAGGCUGUUGCUUUUGUAGGAAGUGGGCACUGCUGCAAUCAGUUUUUAUGGCACUUCCCUGCUGGUCAGAGCCCCUGAAGAUUCUCUGGGUGGAGCCAAAACACCUGUUUUUUCCCUGAUUUCUCAGGGGCUGAGUACCACCACUGUCAGAAGCUCUUCAGGUGCAUGUUGGGCUCCACUAGCUUGGGGCCCCUGUAGGCAGGAACCAGGAAUUGUUAUUCCCCUAGGUGUGACUCCACCUGUUCCAUGAAGUCUGUACCCUAAGUUUGGGGCUGCUUCUUAGCCAUUGCUAGGCAACCAAUACCGCCAACUCAUUCCUGAGCUGAGGUAGGAAAUGUCCUGUAGCUUGAGAAAGCAGUCAUAGGGAGCAAGGCUGUAGUGGUGGAUCCCAGCCUUUCCUUCCAGCAACCCCCACAUGGUGUCUAGUCUUUGAGCCCAACUGGGUUGCCUCUGCUUAAAUGCUCUCCUUUGUGGUUGCCCUAUACUCUAGUCUCUCCAGGCUGUUUCCACGUGGCCAACCGUGUUUUCUUCCCACAUGGCUGGCCCCAGCUUCCUCUUUGGGUCUGAUCUCUAAGGCCGAAGUUUUAGUUCCCAACACCUGCUGGCACCUGCCUACAGUUGCCCAGUGCCUGUUGCCUGUCGCACUGACCAUUUGUGGAGGGCUAUCUCCUUCUUAACUGCUUCAGACCAUUUGUCUAGAAUUCCUCCUCCGUUUUUGGCUGGUCUUGUUGCUGGGGGCCACUUCCUGGGUUGCAGGAGCUCUUCCUCUUUCCAGCUCUCCCCUGAGAUAGCAGGUUCUGUCUCAUUUCCUUUCGCUUCUUUUUCUCUUGUUCUUCUCCUUCUUAUAUCCUAUCUGGUUUUGCAAUGUUUUUCUUGUUCUAUCAUAAUCUUUAAGUCUUUUGUCAGUUUUUCUCAGAUUUUCUGUGUGAAUGAUUCCCCAUAUAGUUAUAUUUUCUAUGUAUUUGUGGGAGUCGAUGAGCUUUAUGUCCUGCUGCUAUGCCAUCUACCUGAUCUCCCCUGGCAGAAGUUUUCAAACUAGUAACAUACAGUGCUAGGAAUGAGGUAAAAAUUUGGGGGCUGUAAAACAAAAAAUACUUUCAGCUUAGGAAUUACACUUGUGGAAAUAUAUUCUAUGAAUGUAAAAUAGUUCAAUGAAGCUCUAUUUGAAUAACAAUUUUUAAAAUCUUGGAUUUGUCUACUAAUAGGCAAAUUCUUAAAUUAAGAUAGUAUGAUAGGAUUUCCCAUUGUGACUCAGCAGUAAUGGAACCAGCCCAGUAUCCAUGAGGAUGCAGGUUUGAUCCCUGGCCUCACUCAGUGGGUUAAGGAUCCAGCAUUGCCGUGAUCUGUGGUGUAGGUCCCAGAUGCGGCUUGGAUCCCAUUUUGCUGUGGCUGUGGCAUAGGCCAGCAGCAGCAGCUCUGAUUACACCCCUAGCCAGGGAACCUACAUAUACCAUAGGUACAGCCCAAAAAAUAAACAAACAAAAAAACCAUAGAUGACUACAAGCCAUAUAAUACAGUUGAAAGCCUUUGAUUAGACCCUCAUUUGAAAUCUCGUUUCUUAAGAAAUGACCUUUCUUACUAGAUAGAUUUGGGAUAUUACCCCUGUCCUCCUGGGUGUGCUACAGGGGAUUUUAAUGUAAGUGUUUAGCACAUAGUAGCAAUUCAUGAACUAUAAUUUCAGCAAGUCUCAGAAGUCACCUAGGUAUGGAGGAAUGAACAUCAGAUUAUGUCUGAUUGCCACAAACCAAAAUAUUCCUCACCCUAGCACAUUAACAUCCACAAUGACUUCCAAAGUAUCUUAUGCAAAUUGUUCAUCCAACCUUACAAUAUCUGGGAAAAUAAGGCACACCUGCCUUGCUAAGAGCAUCAGAGUGAUUUUUCCCUGCAGGUAAGUCAAGUAGUGUUGUUAAAAGUCCAUUACUAGUCAACUCUCAGUUAAAGAAGAAAAUACUCAUCUCAUCCUGUCUGUCAGACUGGGUCUCUGAGUAGUAGUAAAGUUCCACCAACACCAGCACAUUUUCAAGACAACAGUGUGUGAAAUGAUGGUGAGGACAGCAAUCACCAGACUGGUGAAGUGAAUAUUUUAAUACAGGAACCGAUUACAACUUACGAGCGAGCUGUGAGCUCUCUCCAUCUAAAUGCCAGGCAAACACUAUAACGUUGCAAGGGACAACGGUGUGUGAAAUGAUAGUCCUUGUUAAAAUAGCUGAAGUGCAGAAGCAAAUGCUUUCAGGUAUAUGCUUAUUAUAGACUUAUGAGCUGCAAGCUUCACUUCCUUCAGGCAACGGUCUGCAGAUGUCUGGAAUCCACUGUCUUCUUCCUGAAGUCAGUAGUUUGGGGCCAUAACACCCAUGCAGGGAUUCAGUGAGGUGUGAGGGCUGUUGUUCCACAGAUGCUGACGGCUCCUGCUUGCUUUGUGCCCACCCCAUGGGGUUCUGUGAAGAACUGCUUGAACGAUAUUCCCCAAAGUGGUUAUCUACCAUGUGCUUCUCAAAAAGUGUCAUGAAGCUCCUUUUUAAAGAAAAA